GACGAACGCUGGCGGCGCGCCUAACACAUGCAAGUCGAACGGAGCUGAGAGAAGCUUGCUUUUCUUAGCUUAGUGGCGAACGGGUGAGUAACGCGUGAGUAACCUGCCCUGGAGUGGGGGACAACAGUUGGAAACGACUGCUAAUACCGCAUAAGCCCACGAUCCGGCAUCGGAUUGAGGGAAAAGGAUUUAUUCGCUUCAGGAUGGACUCGCGUCCACUUAGCUAGUUGGUGAGGUAACGGCCCACCAAGGCGACGAUUGGUAGCCGGACUGAGAGGUUGAACGGCCACAUUGGGACUGAGACACGGCCCAGACUCCUACGGGAGGCAGCAGUGGGGGAUAUUGCACAAUGGGGGAAACCCUGAUGCAGCGACGCCGCGUGGAGGAAGAAGGUGUUCGGAUUGUAAACUCCUGUCGUGAGGGACGAUAAUGACGGUACCUAACAAGAAAGCACCGGCUAACUACGUG
This 468-nucleotide ribosomal RNA is filed under the name uncultured bacterium. RNAcentral describes it as "partial 16S ribosomal RNA". It matches the Rfam family "Bacterial small subunit ribosomal RNA", at positions 28 to 507 of the family's 1533-position model. The record is from RNAcentral.